RNAcentral lists this ribosomal RNA (429 nucleotides) under Chloroflexota bacterium. Its description in RNAcentral is "Chloroflexi bacterium partial 16S ribosomal RNA". It matches the Rfam family "Bacterial small subunit ribosomal RNA", at positions 355 to 776 of the family's 1533-position model. Lineage: Bacteria; Bacillati; Chloroflexota. The record is from RNAcentral.
UGGGGAAUAUUGCACAAUGGGCGCAAGCCUGAUGCAGCCAUGCCGCGUGUAUGAAGAAGGCCUUCGGGUUGUAAAGUACUUUCAGCGGGGAGGAAGGGAGUAAAGUUAAUACCUUUGCUCAUUGACGUUAUCCGCAGAAGAAGCACCGGCUAACUCCGUGCCAGCAGCCGCGGUAAUACGGAGGGUGCAAGCGUUAAUCGGAAUUACUGGGCGUAAAGCGCACGCAGGCGGUCUGUCAAGUCGGAUGUGAAAUCCCCGGGCUCAACCUGGGAACUGCAUUCGAAACUGGCAGGCUAGAGUCUUGUAGAGGGGGGUAGAAUUCCAGGUGUAGCGAUGAAAUGCGUAGAGAUCUGGAGGAAUACCGGUGGCGAAGGCGGCCCCCUGGACAAAGACUGACGCUCAGGUGCGAAAGCGUGGGGAGCAAACAGG